Molecule: ribosomal RNA, 253 nt
Filed under: uncultured bacterium
Lineage: Bacteria
Description: partial 16S ribosomal RNA
Rfam family: Bacterial small subunit ribosomal RNA
Source: RNAcentral
UACGGAGGAUGCGAGCGUUAUCCGGAUUCACUAGGUUUAAAGGGUGCGUAGGCGGGAUAAUAAGUCAGGGGUUAAAGGCAGUGGCUCAACCAUAUGCAUGCCCUUGAUACUGUAGUUCUUGAGUAGUUUCGAGGGUAGCGGAAUGUGCAGUGUAGCGGUGAAAUGCUUAGAUAUUGCACAGAACACCGAUAGCGAAGGCAGCUAUCCAGACACUAACUGACGCUGAUGCACGAAAGCGUGGGGAUCAAACAGG